This 253-nucleotide ribosomal RNA is filed under the name uncultured prokaryote. RNAcentral's name for it is "partial 16S ribosomal RNA". It matches the Rfam family "Bacterial small subunit ribosomal RNA", at positions 525 to 777 of the family's 1533-position model. The record is from RNAcentral.
ACGUAGGGGGCAAGCGUUGUCCGGAAUCAUUGGGCGUAAAGAGCGCGUAGGCGGUCCGGUAAGUCCGCUGUGAAAGUCGGGGGCUCAACCCUCGAAUGCCGGUGGAUACUGUCGGGCUAGAGUCCGGAAGAGGCGAGUGGAAUUCCUGGUGUAGCGGUGAAAUGCGCAGAUAUCAGGAGGAACACCGAUGGCGAAGGCAGCUCGCUGGGACGGUACUGACGCUGAGGCGCGAAAGCUAGGGGAGCAAACGGGA